GCCAGAGUGGUGAAAUGGCAGACACAGCGGACUUAAAAUCCGCAGACGGGUGAUACCGUCGUGGGGGUUCGAGUCCCCCCUCUGGCACCA
Molecule: transfer RNA, 90 nt
Filed under: Verrucomicrobiota bacterium
Lineage: Bacteria; Pseudomonadati; Verrucomicrobiota
Description: tRNA-Leu
Rfam family: tRNA
About the family: Transfer RNA (tRNA) molecules are approximately 80 nucleotides in length.
Source: RNAcentral